RNAcentral lists this ribosomal RNA (253 nucleotides) under uncultured bacterium. Its description in RNAcentral is "partial 16S ribosomal RNA". It matches the Rfam family "Bacterial small subunit ribosomal RNA", at positions 524 to 776 of the family's 1533-position model. The record is from RNAcentral.
UACGGGGGGGGUAAGCGUUGUUCGGAAUUACUGGGCGUAAAGGGCUCGUAGGCGGCCAACUAAGUCAGACGUGAAAUCCCUCAGCUUAACUGGGGAACUGCGUCUGAUACUGGAUGGCUUGGAUUCGGGAGAGGAAUGCGGAAUUCCAGGUGUAGCGGUGAAAUGCGUAGAUAUCUGGAGGAACACCGGUGGCGAAGGCGGCUUCCUGGACCGACACUGACGCUGAGGCGCGAAAGCUAGGGGAGCAAACGGG